RNAcentral lists this small nucleolar RNA (74 nucleotides) under Podarcis muralis (Common wall lizard). RNAcentral's name for it is "Small nucleolar RNA SNORD24 (ENSPMRG00000022987.1)". It matches the Rfam family "Small nucleolar RNA SNORD24". From Rfam's summary of the family: U24 is a member of the C/D class of snoRNA which contain the C (UGAUGA) and D (CUGA) box motifs. C/D box snoRNAs have been shown to act as methylation guides for a number of RNA targets. U24 is encoded within an intron of the gene for ribosomal protein L7a in mammals, chicken and Fugu. Lineage: Eukaryota; Metazoa; Chordata; Lepidosauria; Squamata; Lacertidae. RNAcentral also lists the same sequence under 1 other name. The record is from Rfam by way of RNAcentral.
UGCAGAUGAUGCUAGCAAAAUAUUUGCUAUCUGAGCUUCCUUGAUGACUCCCAACCACCAAGAUCGCUGAUGCA